AAGAAAUAAAAUAUAAUCAUGAAAAGUUAUAAUAAAAAUUGAAUUUUGAUAACCAAUUUAUUUCAUUUCUUACUAAAUUCAAGUAAUGAAAUCACCAAGAUAAAAGACAACCGCAACACAUCAAUUUACAUAAGAGACAUUCAAUAAUUAUUCUAAUAAGUUUAAGAGUUUACUAUAUUCUACAAGUACUAAAUACUAUUUAAUUGAAGUAAGCAUAACAUGGGUUUUCUAUAUUAUUUAAACAAACAAUUUUAUGUGUGAUAAAUGCAAAUAAGUAAAAAUAUGGCUAAAGUUUACAAGUUUAUAUAUGUUAUGAUCAUCUUUCUUUCAUCGUUUCUUGUUUUAAUUGACGGUAAGGCCUUUUAUGAUCAUUUUCAAGUUUUCCUCUUUUAACUUAUACAAAUUUUUUAAUCCCCACUCAAUAACAAUAUUAUAUUAUUGUUUCAUGUUGCAGCAUUUGAUUUUUGUAUUGAUGACAACGAUUGUCCAUAUAUUGGGUGUUCUCCUCCUAAAAAUAUGACGUGCAUUGGAAAUAUUUGCAGUUGCACCUAACAAGUUGAAAGUAAUUAUAUGUGAUUUCAAAGACUAUAAUUGGAUCUUCAUGUUUCUAAUGUUGUUACUUAUAUAAUUUCUCUUACAUUAUAUAUAUAUAUAUAUAUAUAUAUAUAUAU
This 671-nucleotide long non-coding RNA is filed under the name Lathyrus oleraceus (garden pea). Its description in RNAcentral is "Pisum sativum (pea) long non-coding RNA (PSAT_LNC022037)". Lineage: Eukaryota; Viridiplantae; Streptophyta; Magnoliopsida; Fabales; Fabaceae. The record is from RNAcentral.